AUGUUCCAGCUCUCGCUAUCCAUCUGCACCUCCUCGGUGCCUGCGAGGAGCAGAGGGACGCGGGUCAGCCCGCCCGCCUGCCUGCCCCAGCACCAGGCUCCCCCUGCCCCACUCACUCUCAACGGGCAUGUUGGAAAGCGCCUCGUGGUCGGAGGGGUGGAUCAGCGUGACCGUGAAGUUGGCUUUCAUGGCCGGCUCAUCAAAGCAGGGGAAGGCUUUCCGCGCAUCGGGUGCCUGCAUCUGUGUGGUGGCCACGACCCUGCGAGAAAACCCUGUCAGCACCCCAGCGCCUGGGGUCUCUGCCCCUUCUGCACCCUGCAGGGAGCCGGGGUCCCCCCGCUCACCCCACAGCCUGCCCGCUCAGGGUGGCAUGCAGAAGCACCCUGCGCCCACGGUGCAUUGAGGGCACGGGCUCCCCAGCACGCACAGCCACCUCCCCGCCGUGCCCCCCACCUACUUGGUGACAUUUCCUUCCACGUAUUCGCUGCGGUAGAAGCCCGCCAGGUCGUCAGCCAGCUCCCCCGUGAAGAUGCUGGAGAGUACAUAGCUCUGGCCCUUCGUCAGCAUGCCGCCCAGCUGCACCACCAGGUACUGGGUGGUGGUCUCCAGCCAGGUGUUGGUGAUGGGGGGCGCUUGAGAGUUGCCCACCGCCUGCAGCGAGGCGUGGAACCCCCCCUGCAUGGUGUAGUUCAGCUUGUUGCUGUGGAUGAUGAUGAGAUCGGUUGGUUCCUCACAGGUAAAGGUCACGCUGCUGUUCCCUUUGAAGAUGUACAUGUUGUUGUUAUCGGGCGUCAGGAAGGGCUGCAGGGUCACAUCAUAGAGCUCAGGCUUCAGUGUUGUUGGCAGCCGCCACCGGUUCCAGAGCUCGCUGUCUUGUUCUUCUCCUGGGCAUACACCACGGACAGCGCGAUGAUGGUGGCCACAGCGCCCACGGCCAGCACGAUGCACACGACGCCCACGGCCUUGCUGAUGAAGAACCCGGCCGCCAUGGCGGGGCUGCAGGAGCUGCGCUCACAGAGGCCGCUCGGCCCGGCAGGCACGGCUUUUAACCUCUCUCUCCCCCAGGGUUUAUUAGUCCAAGUUAAUGGGUGAAGGAUUAAACGACCAUGAGGCGCGGGGUGGUGACAAGCCCCUGGGAUGAGCUUUCUGCCCGCCCACCUCCCAGCCUCGCAGGAGCGCUAAUCCCAGGUGCUGCUGCGGCUGGGGUGAAACCAGGAGCUCAGGAUUGCAUCAGCAGGGAUGGGCAGCACGGGAAGGGGCACAGCUACAGGCCAGGGCUCCUGGCGUCCCUCCCGGGCACUGGCCUGGCCCUGCAAAAGGAGGGACAGAGCUGAGUCACAGCCGGCGACCACGUCCCCACCUUGCCCCAGGGCAGGCAGGCAGCCCCAGUACCAAGCCCAGGCUCGUGCUCAGCAUCGCACCGUUCACCCUCACGUGGCAGGGUCUGCAAGCACUGAGGGGUGGGAGCCACCAUCGGCCCCCCGGCACGGGCACAGCCACCCGGGGCUCCCCACACCGGCAGGGAAAAGCAGGAGGGUGCAGCGCUGCAGCCCGGGGGUCCGCAGUGGUGCAGGGCUGGAAGCCGGGGACCGUGCUCAGGGGAGCCUGCCCUGCCCACCGCCCUCUCAAAGUCCAGGUUUGUGUUACUUGGUGUGCACUGGGAGUUCAAACUCCAGCCCCACGAACCCAGCAGAAGUUGGCACGUGCCCACUGUGGCUGGCUGCAGGGCACCCAGCAUCCUGCAUGCUCUGCGAGCUGGGGGUCCCAAACACACAGCACACAGCUGGGGGGCUCCGGGGGCUCAGCCUCGCCUGCACUCCCCAGCGGGGGCCCUGGCUGGGAGCCAAGCAAAGGUGCUGGGGCCGGACGUGCUGGUGCAUGGGGCAGGGGCACACACAUUGCCUGUGUGUUGUCCCCCUGGGCUCUGCCCUCACAGGGGAGAGCAGCCCCAGGCCCCCCCAGGCCGUGUCCCACUGCCCUCUGCCAGAGGCUUCUGCGGGCACAGCAGAAGGCGAAGGAGUAAAGUCCCCGUGCAGGGUGGGGUGGGGAGAGGAAACGCUCUGCAUCUCACGCUGGGAACAGAAACUUCCCAGGAGCUGAUUCCUUCAGUGGUGUUGACCUAGGCUGGUUCUGCUGGCAGCUGGCACGACAGGGCAAGGGGCAGACCUGGGGAAAAGGGUGAGAGGUGUCCUUUGGGAACCGUGCCCUGUCCCCAUAAGCACCCAGAUGCACCCAGCGUCACUGCAGCUGGCAGAGCAGCCCUGGGAGGCUGCAGUGUCCCCGGGCAACCCCUGCCCUGCACAGCCCCACCGACCCCGCAGUCUGGGCAGCCUCCACCCCCUGUAGCACAGCCAGGCUCCUGACCUGGCUUUGGGAACUGGGAUCAGGAAACAACAUACCCCAAGCCAUGGCUGUGAUGGCACCCUGGAGACCGGGGGGGCCCCACACGCCCUCCGCUGUUCUGUGCCCUUGCAGAGCCGGCUCCCCCACGCAGACCCCAGCGCCCAACCCCACGUACUUCUCACCCGCAGACAGCAGCCCCCCAGCACACCGCUCCCAGCCCGGCACAGCCGCCUGCACCACCCCACACCACCCCCUGCUCCAUCUCCCCCUCCCCAGUGCACGCAGCCCCCAGCCUCCCCGCAGAGCCCCCACCUCCACACGGGUCCCUGCAGACAGCGCACAGGCGGGCAGCGGUGUGGGGUGCUCCCUGCCCACCACCUCCAGCCCCAGGGUGCACACACAGCUCCCUGCUCCCCGUAGCUCUCCUGAGCCACACGCCCCCUCCAUAACCCCUCACCCCCCCGGAGCCCCUCCAUCACAUGCGUGCUCCGCAGCCCCCAUGCACAUGAGCGCCACAGCCCCAAGCACGCUGCCAGACCCCGUCCCACAGGCCACGGUCCCGCUGUGUCCCCUGCGUGUGCGCAGCCCCUGGUCCCCCCAGCCCAGCCCACGGGCACCCCAGGCAGGCCCCCAGCCCCUGCGGGGGGGUCUGCCCAGCACCCACCUUCCUGCGCUCAGCCGUGGGGUGCAGCAGGCGCCGGGGCUCCCGCCUGCCCCCUUGCCAUCGAGGCGCCCUGCCUGCGCCCUGCCUGCGCCCUGCCUGGACUCUCUGCUCCGCUAGUUCAGGCACCAGUAGGAAGGAAAGUUUCCUCCUCGUGCUCCAAGGGAAGUAACCUGAACCGUUCCUCGGCACCUUAACCCCUGUGCUGCUGGCCGCCCCUACCCGGAGGGCUGGGGGGCCACGGCAUGGUGCAGGGGGGCCGCGGCACAGAGCCCAGCCGGGGCGCCAGGGCUGUCCGGCACAGCACCGGCACAGGGACGGGGCGAGGCACCGCUGCCUGGGGAAGGCGCUGCCAGGUCUGGGCACACCGGGGCCCCCCAGGGCAGACGGGGAUGCCAGCGAGCUGCGGGCCCCACCUCGGCCACCACCACCCCAUCAGGAAGGCACUGCUUGGAGGAGGCUGCCUGCCAGCCAUGCGCAGCCUGGGCACCCCCGUGCCCCGCUGCCAGGGACAAAACACCUCUGCCUGCCCAGCCCCCAGAGCCCCCCAGCACCCUGCCGAGUGUCCCCUCCCUCACACCGGCCUUUGCCAGCACACUUGUCCCUAGGGGGUGGCAAGGAAGGGGACAAGCCACCAGGGGACAAGCCACCACCUGCCAGCAGCAACAGCCUGGUGGUGCGCCCCUUGGCACACAGUGCACCCGGGCACCCCAGGAACACCGUCCCUGCAGGAUUUCCCUGGCCGGGGGAGAAGUCUCACCCUGUCCGUGGCAGGGAGAGGUUAAACACUCCUGUCGAGGGUGUGCAGGUGCCUGCAGAAGGGCUGGGCAUGUGCCAGGCUCCGUCCUGCUGCUCUCCAUCGCACUGCCAGGGAGGGAGGCCGGAGCAGGGGACGUGCUCCCACAAGCAAGCCCCGGCUGAGCUCAGGGGAACCCGGGAACUCGUCGGUGCCAAAGCCUGGCCGGGGACGGGCCAGCCCCCAGCAGCCUCCCAGUGCCAAGGGGCUGGGGGCCAGCUCUGCCUCUCGCCUCCGCAGCCCUGCCCCAGGCAGCAGGAGCGAGGUCUCUCCUGAGGUCUCUCCUCUCGCACGGCCACCCCUGCCCCAUCCCAGCCGGGGCUGUCCCCACGCUGCUGGGCUCAGGGCUGCAGCCCUCCCGGGUGGGGGCCAGGGCAGGGAGCUUGGCCCAUCCUGUUCUCCCUGCCCUGCACGCAGGGGGGACAAGGGAGCAGCCGGAGCAGCAGCCGGACUCACCCAGCCGCAGCAGCCUCCACGGCCCUCGGCGUCGUGCAGACCCACGGGGCUGAAGCUCUGGUGGGACACAGGAAAGGGCGGCGAGGACGGAGCUGUUACCGGAGGUGCCCGAGUGGUUCAUCAUCACGUGUGGCCAGGCACGCGCUGCUGACCACCACAGCGCCGGGCUGGAGCACGGGCACAGCCCAGCACAGCCAGGGCUGCCUGCCCAUCGCCCCCUUCCCCCCGCACCCGGGCUGCCUGGAGCACGGCGGCACCGCGCUGAGCCCCUCGCUGCCCUUCCCAAGCCCACGACACAUCCCAGCCCAACACGUCCCACCCCAACACGUCCCACCCCUGACACGUCCCACCACCGCGUGGCUCGGGCGGCUGCUGGGAGGAGAAGGAGGAGGAGGAGGGCUGGCAGCGAUGAAGAAACGGCUGCCCAGCUCGGUGACCUGACGAGCUGCUGGGGUGUACGUUGGGCAGCUGGGGAAGGGUUAAGCUGCAGAGAGGAGACAGCAGGAAAAUUCCUUCCAAGCAGAGUCACCGUUUCCCUGUCGGGGAAGUGGAGGCAGAGCCCGCGGGAGCACAGCU
RNAcentral lists this long non-coding RNA (4832 nucleotides) under Anas platyrhynchos (mallard). RNAcentral describes it as "lncRNA (ENSAPLG00020012793.1)". The record is from RNAcentral. Lineage: Eukaryota; Metazoa; Chordata; Aves; Anseriformes; Anatidae.